This 345-nucleotide unclassified non-coding RNA is filed under the name soil metagenome. Its description in RNAcentral is "partial contains 5.8S ribosomal RNA, internal transcribed spacer 2, and large subunit ribosomal RNA". The stretch from base 1 to 120 matches the Rfam family "5.8S ribosomal RNA", at positions 35 to 154 of the family's 154-position model. The record is from RNAcentral.
GAUGAAGAACGCAGUGAAAUGCGAUACGUAAUGUGAAUUGCAGAAUUCAGUGAAUCAUCGAGUCUUUGAACGCACAUUGCGCCCCCUGGUAUUCCGGGGGGCAUGCCUGUCCGAGCGUCAUUGCUGCCCUCAAGCACGGCUUGUGUGUUGGGCCUCCGUCCUCCUCCCGGGGGACGGGCCCGAAAGGCAGCGGCGGCACCGCGUCCGGUCCUCGAGCGUACGGGGCUUCGUCACCCGCUCUUGUAGGCCCGGCCGGCGCUUGCCGACACAUCAAUCUUUUUUCCAGGUUGACCUCGGAUCAGGUAGGGAUACCCGCUGAACUUAAGCAUAUCAAUAAGCGGAGGA